AGGGUGUAAACGCUGCAGACUUGGUGUUGGGAACCCUUCGGGGGUGCUCAGUGCCGGAGAGAAGUUGUUAAGUCUGCUACUUGGGGAGUACGUCCGCAAGGAUGAAACUUAAAGGAAUUGGCGGGGGAGCACCGCAACGGGAGGAGCGUGCGGUUUAAUUGGAUUCAACGCCGAAAAACUCACCAGCAGCGACUGUUACAUGAAAGCCGAGAUGAAGACUCUGCUAGAUUUUCAGAGAGGAGGUGCAUGGCGUCAGUGACU
RNAcentral lists this ribosomal RNA (261 nucleotides) under uncultured archaeon. RNAcentral describes it as "partial 16S ribosomal RNA". It matches the Rfam family "Archaeal small subunit ribosomal RNA", at positions 748 to 1008 of the family's 1478-position model. The record is from RNAcentral.